Molecule: long non-coding RNA, 727 nt
Organism: Onychostruthus taczanowskii (white-rumped snowfinch)
Lineage: Eukaryota; Metazoa; Chordata; Aves; Passeriformes; Passeridae
Exons: 3
Source: RefSeq, a predicted model, not a curated record
GUGGCAGCGGCUGGGCCCGCGGCUCAGGCCAAGGAGGGUGCUGGGCAGGCCCCCCUUGCCGGCCGGCGCUGCACCUGGAGAGGAGGGUGGAGAGGAAUAGCGAAAAUGAGAAAUGCAGAUGAAAAGAUAUCUGCUUGCUGCCUCCUUUCUUGGUGAGCUGGGCUUUACCCUCUUUCUCCCUGAUCUGCUUCAAAUGGAUGUUGCAGCUGGCUGUCCUGAGUGGGUGCUGCAGAGGCCCAGCCAUAAACAUCCCUUUCCACGGGCAGAGGGGUCUGCUCUUAGCCCUGGAGGUGUCAGCAGGAGCCGCAGAAACCAGCCCAAGAGGUCUUUGUGCCACCUUCAGCAAUGCCCUCACUGACAUCCCUGCUGAGAUCUCCCCAUGCCUAAGUGCAUCCUUCAGACCAAGCUCCCUGCCAGCCCUGGGGUUGGGAAUGCAGCCUGAAUUUCCCCUGGAAAGAGGAAAUACCCAGCUCCAAAACUGAGGCUUCAUCCUGAAGUACAACAAACAGGACCUGAGGAGCCUCCCAAGAGUCUUGGAACCAAGAAGAAACAGCCAGAGCAGAUGAGCAGCUGUAAAAUCCCCAGGGCAUCUCACACCCCUUGGGGUUGGCACUAGUGGGAAGCAGGAGGGUGCAAAGCAGCAAGAAAGCCAAGCAUUCCUCUGCCCUGCCCUGCCACCCUACUCCUCUGCACUGCCCACCACACCAUGUGCCUCUGCCAGCACAGA